This is a long non-coding RNA of Mytilus trossulus (common blue mussel), 384 nucleotides long. RefSeq lists it as uncharacterized. Lineage: Eukaryota; Metazoa; Mollusca; Bivalvia; Mytilida; Mytilidae. The transcript has 4 exons. The record is from RefSeq and is a predicted model, not a curated record.
CUCGUUUUGACAUUUGAAGCUUCCUGUUCUCAAUUCUCAAACUACAGACAAUUAUUUUUAACCAAGAAGAUGUCAUUUCAAUGACUUUAAAUGAUUCUGAUCAGGCUUAUUGACUGGUGGCAGAUGGGGUAAAAUGUAUGUAAUAUAAAGUGGCAUUAAGGCCAUGAAGACAGACUGUACAAUAACAUGCUGAAGUUGCAAUCAGAGUUUGACGAAGACCCACGUGUAAUCCCUUAUUGACAGUUGCAGAACUCUGGCCAACAGAUUUCACAUUGGGAUAUAAUGGCAAGUUGGGAUGAGAAACUUCUUACAGCUGUCGAGAAGGGGAAUAUAAAAAAGGUAGAAUUAUGUAUAAAGAAUGGAGCUAGUUUGGAAUGUAGAAAU